CGUGCGCUCCCCACUCGUGUGGUCUCUCUGCACCCCUUCCUGGGGUCGGGUCGGGCAGGGGCGGAGGGGAGCCGCAGCCCGGUCACGGGCUCUGGGGAACCCGGGCUCCCGUUCGGCUGCACCUGGGCCCCUAGCUCCUGUCCGGGCGGGGAUAGCGGGAAGCGCACCAGGCCCCCGGGACGCCGGUGCUUCUUUGCACGGCCCAGCGCGGGAAUGUGGACACCAGCGAAGCCGGCUCAGGUCGGCCCUCGGGAGAAGCAGGGGCUACACGGAAAGGGAGCCCGAGGGUCCUGCAGAGCCCGAGGUCGGGACCCCGCGCGUGCAGUGCCAAUGGGCUGCGGCUGGGCUGAGCGCCCUUCCAACCUUGCAGGCCCCGGGGGGGUUGCCGCGGAGAGCUUCCGCUGGGGCUCCGGGCCUCUGGCCGCCACCUCCCUCGGGAGGCCGAGGGGGGCGGUGGCCCCGGCCCGGCCCUCCCGCUUCCCUCACGGCCUGGCCCUCCCGCUUCCCUGAUUCCCGGUAGGGUCGCUCUCCCCGCCUCCUGGCCCCUCUUGGCUCGGAUGACAAAGAUUGGGUAAAGGCUUUCAACGAGCUAGCGUCUGGCAGGGGGUGUGUCCUCGCUCACUGGUUACUGCUAGGACGGAGCUUGGAUUUUGGUCACCGUGGCUCAGA
RNAcentral lists this long non-coding RNA (669 nucleotides) under Homo sapiens (human). RNAcentral's name for it is "HSALNT0079552". Lineage: Eukaryota; Metazoa; Chordata; Mammalia; Primates; Hominidae. The record is from RNAcentral.